GACCCUGUGAGAAUGCCCUCCAUCCCCCGUAUUAACGGACAGGAGGAGUUGAUAUCAGGCACAACCUCGUGUUAGCCCAUGACAUCUAGCUUAGCCACACCCCCAAGGGUACUCAGCAGUAGCAAACAUUAAGUAUAAGUGAAAGCUUGACUUAGUUAUAAUCAAGAGGGCCGGUCAAUCACGUGCCAGCCACCGCGGUUACACGUGCUGGCCCAAGUCGACAGUAUUCGGCGUAAAGUGUGGUUAAUAAGCCUUUUAACUAAAGCCAAACGACUUCUGGGCUGUUUCAAUGUGUAUGAAGACUGGAAGCUCUUCCUCGAAAGUCGCUUUAAGAAUUAUGACGCCACGAAAGCUAGGGAACAAACUGGGAUUAGAUAACCCACUAUGCCUAGCCGUAAACAUAGACAAUUGAGAUACCUCUAUUGUUCGCCAGGGUACAACGAGCCACGGCUUACAACCCAAAGGACUUGGCGGUGCUUUAGACCCCCCUAGAGGAGCCUGUCCUAGAACCGAUUUCCCCCGUUCAACCUCACCCCCUCUUGUUCUUUCCC
This 551-nucleotide ribosomal RNA is filed under the name Eviota afelei (Afele's fringefin goby). Its description in RNAcentral is "partial 12S ribosomal RNA". It matches the Rfam family "Bacterial small subunit ribosomal RNA", at positions 307 to 992 of the family's 1533-position model. Lineage: Eukaryota; Metazoa; Chordata; Actinopteri; Gobiiformes; Gobiidae. The record is from RNAcentral.